UGGGUACAAAGUAGAGGUGAGGACCUCUAUUUAUAGGGCUUUGGGAAGCCUUCACAUACUUCCACUUAUGGCUGGAAUACUCUAGAAACAUUAUUUAAGGUUCACCAUUCUACUCAUAGCUACUCACAACUAGAAGACUCUAGAAAACAGUAGGUAGGAUAAAAAAAAGAAAAGAAAUACUAGACCACAACAGAAGUAUCUAGAAGUAGCCAAACAGAUUUGACAUAUGAUUAUAUUUUCAUGUUCCUCAUCUAUUGUUCCUCAUCAUUCUCCCCUGGUUGUUUGGAACUCGCCCUCGAGUUAUCUUCAUAGAGCGCUUCUUCUGGAUGGUAGAGAGUCAAGUCCGCAACAUUGAAAGUGUUGGAGAUACCCAUGUCACUUGGACGAUCUAUCACAUAAGCAUUAUCAUUUAUCUUCCUCACGAUAGAGAAGGGCCCAUACCUUCGCUGCCUAAGUUUCCCUUUAACACCUAAAGGCAGCCUCUCUUUUCGGAGGUAGACCAUCACCUCAUCACCGGCUUGGAAUGAUUUUGGCCUCCUUUUGCAAUCAGCAAGUUGUUUAUAUUUCUGAUUUUGUGCUUCCAAAGCACCGCGAAUCUCUUCAAAUAACUCGGUGUAAUUAUUAGCAAAGGACAAUGCUGAUUUUGAGUUUUCCCCUUGAUGGUAGCUUCACCAGGUCCACCACAUGUGAUGGAACUUUAGUGUAGACAAUGGAAAAAGGGCUCCUUCCCGUGGAUCUAUGCUUGGAGUUAUUGUAGGAGAAUUCUGCAAGAGAUAAAGCCAAAUCCCAUUGUCCCUUUCUUUCUCCACAAAUGCAACGGAUCAGAUUACCCCAAAACUUGUUCACCACUUUCGUUUGUCCAUCUGUUUGUGGAUGAGCAGUGCUAGAAAAUUUCAACUCAGUGUUGAAUUGCUUCCACAAAGUGAGCCAAAAUGCCGCAAGAAACUUGCUAUCACGGUCUGAGACGAUGGACCUUGAUACUCCAUGAAGUCUGACCACUUGUCGAAAGAAUAGGUUUGCCACAUGAUGAGCAUCCGUUGUUUUGCAGCAUGGGAUGAAAUGAGCCAUCUUAGAGAAUCUAUCCACGACCACAAAUAGAGCAUCACUUCCUCGCCUUGUUCUUGGCAAGCCCAAGACAAAGUCCAUAGAGAUGUCCUCCCAUGGAGCGACAGGAACAGGCAAAGGCAUGUAUAACCCUGUGUUCUAGACUUGGCCUUUGCAGGUUUGACAUAUUGGGCAUCGCUGAACAAACUUUCCAGCAUCUCUUUUUAGUUGUGGCCAAAAGUAGCGAGCUUCCAGGCUAGCGAUAGUCUUGUCCCGUCCAACAUGGCCACUAAGAUCACUUGAAUGGAGCUCUUUAACCAACUUGUCACGUAGAGAACUUCUUGGAAUGCACAAACAAUCAUUUUUGAAGAGAUAUCCAUCUUGCAUCAAAUAGUCAUCGCCUAAUGGUUGGCCCCUUGCGUGCUUUACCAAAACAUGGCCAAAGUCUUCGUCACCCUCAUACAACUCCUUUAUUUGAUCCAUGCCCGGAAGUUCAGCUUCAAAAGAAGUCAAGAGGCAUGCACGACGACUCAAAGCAUCGGCCACUCUAUUAGUUAUUCCAGAUUUAUGCACGAUGAGAUAGUUAAACCUCUCCAGAUAUGUUGCCCAUCUUGCUAGCAUGCGGUCAACAUGCUUUUGAUUUCUAAAAUACUUCAAGGAUUGAUGGUCGCUAUAAAUAAUGAAUUCUUUAGGCAGCAAAUAGACUUCCCAAGUUUUCAACGCUCUGAAAACGGCGUAUAAUUCUUGCUGAUAGGUACUCCAUUUCUGUCUAGCUUCACUUAACUUCUCACUAAAGAAAGCAAUGGGCUUCCUUUCUUGAGAUAGGACAGCUCCAAUGCCUACUCCACUUGCAUCACACUCCAACUCAAAAGUAUUGUUGAAAUCAGGUAGUACCAAGACAGGAGCUUGUGAUAGCUUUUGUUUAAUCUCAUUGAAGCUAGCUUCAGCUGCUUCUGCCCAUUGGAACUUUCCUUUCUUCAAACACUCGGUAAUUGGUGCCAUGAUAGUGCUGAAAUUCUUAACAAAUCGACUAUAGAAAGUUGCAAGGCCAUGAAAGCUUCUUACCUCAGAAAUGGUCUUAGGAGUUGGCCAUUCUCGGAUUGCUUCAACCUUAGAAUCAUCAACACGAAUGCCGUCACAUGUUAUGACGAAUCCUAGGAAAAGAAGUUGAGUUUGCAGGAAAACACAUUUCUUCAAGUUGACGUAGAGCUCAUUUUCCCUUAGUACUUCUAACACCUUCCGAAUGUGAUCAAAGUGUUCAUCCUCAUCCUUGCUAUAGAUCAAGAUGUCAUCGAAAUAGACCACAACAAAGUGGGAUAAGAAGGGUCUAAGGACUUGAUUUAUUAAGUGCAUAAAGGUACUUGGUGCAUUUGAGAGUCCAAAUGGCAUGACUAGCCAUUCAAACAACCCUUCCUUUGUCUUGAAGGCGGUCUUCCAUUCAUCCCCAGGUCUUAUACGGAUUUGAUGAUAUCCACUUCUUAAAUCUAGCUUUGUGAACACUCUUGCUCCACUAAGUUGAUCCAACAUAUCAUCCAGACGGGGAAUAGGGAAUCUAUACCUUAUGGUGAUCUUGUUAACGGCUCUACUGUCCGUACACAUGCGCCAAGAUCCAUCUUUCUUUGGCGCGAGUAGGGCUGGUACAGCACAUGGGCUAAUACUUUCUCGAAUGUGCCCCUUCUGCAACAAUUCCUCCACUUUCUCCUUCAAUAUAUCAUGCUCCUUUGGGCUCAUUCGAUAGUGUGGAAGAUUAGGAAGACUUGCUCCCGGAAUUAAGUCAAUACUAUGUUGAAUUCCUCUCAUCGGUGGCAAGCCAUGUGGCUCCCCAAGUAUGUUCUGAAAUUCUGCCAAUAAACCACGUACCUUUGCUGGAAUUUCGACAGUCAGGUGCUCUUCUCCUUUUACAACAAGUGCAGCACACAAAUCUGCCUCCUUCAAGUCUUCCAUAAACUCAUGAGAGGUAUGGGAGAUAGUUAACAUAGUUUUCCCCUCCUCAGAGGUAUUACCUUCGGUUUUGUUUGGUAAAAUAAUGAUCUUUCUCUUGUUCCAAAUGAAAGAGUAAGAAUUUUCCUUGCCCUUGUGUGUAGUAUCCACAUCAAAUUGCCAAGGUCUCCCAAGAAGAACAUGGCUGACAUCCAUGUCAACCACAUCACACAACACAUUUGAGCGAUAAUGCUUGCCCAAAGGAAGUGGCAGGUUGCAUUGUUUGGUGAUCCUCAUAUUCACUCCUUUCUUGAUCCACCCAAUAGUGUAGGGGUUUGGAUGAUCAUGAAUAUCAAGCUUUAAAUGGUUCACCAACUUCUGGGAGAUAAGAUUCUCACAACUGCAACUAUCAAUCACUAAUUUGCAUACCUUGCCAUUCACCGUGCAUUUGCUCUCAAAUAUUUUCUUCCGUUGUGUGUUGUCAGGUUGUGGUGUGGAACAUAGGAGACGCUGGAUCACACAUACCACCUCUUCACCUUCUUCUUGACAAACCUCUUGCCCCUCUACAUCUUCAGAUUCGUAUUCUUCCUCAUCGUCUUCACCAUCAAGGAUAGUUGUGUUAACAAAUUUCCUUAGUGGGCAGCCGCUGGAUAUGUGUCCCUCUUCGCCACAUUUAUAGCAUUUUGGGCCUUCAUUGGACUUACCCUUGCCUCUAGUUUGCUUCUGGAUGGGUCGUUUUGCCUUAGGUGGAGCGGUCUUUCCUUCCACUCUAUUAGGGUGACUCCUAGACGAGCCUUUGGUAUAAGGAUAUGGAGGAUAUGGAGCCUUAGUUGCCUUUCUUGUCCUCACAAACCUCUCGGCCUUUAAGGCUAGAGCUUGUGCUUGAUCAGCGGACCAGAUUUGUUGCAUCAUCAAUCGAUCUUGAAUAGCAUCAUUGAGACCAUUGAUGUACCUUGCAACUUGUUGAUCUUCAGUUUCAGCAAGGUUGCACCUCACUUGUAGCCUUAGAAACUCCUCCGUGUAAUCUGAAACAGUCCUACUUCCUUGAGCACAAUUUUGAAAUUGGAUAAAUAGGAUCUGGUCAUAAUCAACGGGCAAAAAUCUCCCUUUCAAGAGACUUUUCAUUUGCCGCCAAGUUCUCACACGAGGUUCUCCUCUCAGCCUGCGCUCUUCUUGAGCGCGAUGCCACCAUGCACCGGCUCCUCCUUUCAGCUUGUAUGCGACCAAAGGAACUCUACGAUCUUCCGAAACCUCCAUGACCUCAAAGAAUGUCUCCACUUCAUAUAACCAAUCUAGGCACCCUUCAAUAUCAACAUUUCCAUUAAAAGUUGGGAUCUCAGCUUUCACCUUGUAUGUAUCCCUUGCAUAUGUAGGGUUGGGUACUCCCCGAUAUGCAUAGAGAUCAGCUUCUUCAAGGGCUUCAUCAUAUUCUUCACCUCCAGAAGUUUCAACAUAAAUUGGCCUUCUUGAAGCACGUUGAACAACACGUUGUUGUGGCGGUCUUGCUCCAAGAUCACCUCUCCUUUGAUGAACAUCUUCUUUAGAUGAAUCUCCUUCAUUGGUAGCAGGGGGAACACCCUUCCUUAUCAUCUCAACCAGCUGAUCAAAUCUACGAUUAAGAUCUUCACGCAGCUCUUUGAUUUGUUGUUCUGCAACAUCCAUCCUCUUCUUCAAUUGCUCCAUUGCUUGCUGCAGCUUGCUCUCGAAGAGGACAGCAAGAACUAGUAUGGGUCAACGAGGCUCUGAUACCACCUCGAGCAGCACAAAGGUUGUGGAGGAGCAACUCCACCUUGCUGCUAUAAUGUGUACAACACAAGUGUUGAAGGAACAGCUUCAACGUUCUGCACUAGAUACCGCUCUAGAGGUAAAUGUAGGCUGAUAGGGCAGCAAGAGUUCAAUCCAGAACUCCUAGGGCACAAGAUCUACUCCAAGAUCUUAGAUAAGAACAACAAGUUCUAUUAUAGGUAGGGGUACAUAGUCUGGGUACAAAGUAGAGGUGAGGACCUCUAUUUAUAGGGCUUUGCGAAGCCUUCACAUACUUCUACUUAUAACGGAAUACUCUAGAAACAUUAUUUAAGGUUCACCAUUCUACUCAUAGCUACUCACAACUAGAAGACUCUAGAAAACAGUAGGUAGGAUAAAGAAAAGAAAAGAAAUACUAGAACACAACAGAAGUAUCUAAAAGUAGUCAAACAUAUUUGACAUAUGAUUAUAUUUUCAUGUUCCUCAUCUAUUGUUACUCAUCAGGGAACCAAGCAAAAUCACAUGAUGUCGACAAGCAUGGAACAGAGCAAGAACCGACCCACCAAGCAGCGGCAGAGGCGCCGUUCAAAAUCGGCAAGUAGGGGCACUGACAGCCAGCUCCUGGAAACAACAGCGGGAUCAUCGCCAAGACCGCAAUGGAGGCCAACAGCUAGUGAGGAAGAUAGGUGACGGGGCGCGGAUGCUUCGCUCUGGGACGGUGGCGGCUAGGGUGGGUUGGCGGCUGACGAGCGAGACACGUGGCGCGGCAGGCAUGCUUCGAUGUGGGGCACCGGCAGCCAGUUCCUCGGGCGGGUGGAUUUCCAUAAUUUGUUGUACCUUGAGCCAAUGGAGAGAAAUUCUAACCAUAAUGAACUUUUUAAGUAAAUUUCCAAAUCCAACCACCAGUGUAGCCACCAAACUUAGAAGUAACCUUUCAAGAG
This 5648-nucleotide long non-coding RNA is filed under the name Triticum aestivum (bread wheat). RNAcentral describes it as "long non-coding RNA (TAES_LNC011585)". The record is from RNAcentral. Lineage: Eukaryota; Viridiplantae; Streptophyta; Magnoliopsida; Poales; Poaceae.